UCAGCUGAGUGGAAGCAGUAAGUUUUAUUACCUGGCAUCCAAGAUCCCCAAGGCCUAGAAUCCGCUCACCGUCGGUAACAACAAUAACUUGAAUGUUCCUUUCUGGCCAGUUCUUCAAAACUUCAAGAAUCUUGCCCCUGGAAAGGUAAAUUGUUGAUUACCAAUUAAGAACGAAUGCAACUAAUCAUACAUUAUAAAUGCUAGUUUAAUGACAUACUUCUCUUUCAAACUGAUGAAAAGGCCUUGAGGUCGUCUAUAAACGCUCCCAUACUUCUGGCAAGCUUCGCCUACGGUUGGAGUGUACACAAUUGGAAGCAGUUCUUCAACAUUAUCAAUGAGAAGCUUGUAGAACAACCUUUCAUUUCUCUCCUGCAAGAUCAAAUGAUAGUAGACAUGAAGGAAAAUUUGUGGUAUGGCCAGGUAGAACAAAGGUACAACUACAAACAUCAAUUGAGAUAAGGAGGCAAAGUACAUUCUUUAAUUGGGUUGUCUAACAGGCUUUGAUAAAUUAACAUCUUACAUAUCAUAAGUAAUAAGAUUUAGAGUCUUGUUUGUGUGCAGUUUAAUGAUAUGACUAAAAAGUGAAAAUUUUGGAUCGCCACACAGUUCCAAGUCCCAACUUCUAUAAGAAAUCAUAAACAAUUUCGACUCCAAGAUAAUUUUAACAUUUAUAUAAGGUCAAAGUAAUCUUAGGACUUUUGAAAGAAUAAUAAUAUUUUUAAACAAAAAGCAUAGUUUAGAGAUACGUUUUAAUAAUAUAGCCUAAAAAUUCAAUUCCAAAGACAAACCCCACAGCUCCUUAUAUCAAUGACACUCAUAUUUUUCAUCUAAUGAUCUUUAACUCAUUAGCUGCAGAGAGAGGAAUCAAAUAGCAAAAUUAACAAUAAACAAGUGAAACAUCUAUCGAACCUGAAGAUCCAUCAUGGCAAUAUAUCUGUGUAGUGGAACUUCAUAGUUGCGAAGAUUAUGCAUCAUCCUCCUUUCCUGCUUCCCACAAAAAAAAAAAAAAUGUGUAAACAAGCAUCAAAUCAAUACCAUAAAAAAAGAAAAAGUGUUAAGCUAUCAACAAAGACAAACAGAAAAUGUAAAGUAAGAGAGUGUGGACAAAAAGAUUUGCAUAGUUUGCUAUCAGUAUCUUAAGUUUAUUAUUAGAGAGAAAAUAUCAUAUAACAUAAUCAAGACGCCACUAGCGUGAGACAUCUUAGGUAGUGUACCCCUCUGAAUUUUAACUCGACCAUCCCAAACACAAGAUAGGAAGACAUUCCAACAAAAAAGUAAAUAAAAGGGAAAAUGGUAGAACUAGAAAGAUCUAAACUUUACCUGAAGCUCUUGAUCAAUAACUGCUGGUGGCAACAAGCCACGCAAGUAAUGAGCAUCUCUUUCUUUUUCACUAAAGGCGAGGCCUUUGUUGUAGAUCGGAUCACGCAGUAAAGAAUAACCACUAAAACAACAAAAGACAGACAAAAAUGAGAAAAUUUUCAAGUUAGAACAAAUGCAAAAACAACCACAAAAAAAUAAUAAUAAUAAAUAAACAGAACGUGUUUUUAGUAGCAAAUAUCUUCCUUAAAAUCCCUUACCUAGCAACAGAGACUGUCCAAGGAGUAAUGAGCUGAUCUUCAGUAGCAUUGUGUUCUCCAUAGGCUUCUUCAAACUUAUUGUCAAUUUCUUCCAUGUCCAUAUGAACACUACCGUUGCUCAUUGUCUUCUUCAUUGAACUCUCCAUUGAUCCCAAAGCUUCAAUCUCAAAUCUCCUUCCUCUACACACCAAGUUUCUCUGCGAAUGGCAGAAAGUUAAAGCGAAAACAAAGGCAACACAGAGAGAAUGGAAAUACAGAAGGAAUUUGGUGGAAAUGAAAGCAGCAAGAUUCGUGUUUUAUAGUGAAUGAAAAAAUAAAAAAAAAUAAAAAAAUUCUUUGCUUAUUCUUUGAUUGAUUUGCUUUGUCAACGAAUUAUGGCGACAAUGUGAAGAGCAUAAACGACCCACGUGGACUAAUUGAUUUUAAGAAUUCAACAAACCCCAUUAAAAAAUAUAUAAAAUUUUAAAAUAAAAAAGUGAACCUUUUCUUCUUUUCUUUUGGUAUUAUUACCAGAUAUUGAUGUCGGAGGAAGAAGAGCAUAAUUGUGAAAAUGGAAAUAGAAAUUAGGAUGAAAAGAAAAGAAGAAGGAAUUGAAAGGUUUCCGCGUUUUCUUGAGUGAGAAACAGAAGGAGGGUGGUGACUGGUUGAAGAAGAGGGACUAAAGUUUCAAACUUUGAGGAUUGAAUUCACUUUCAUUUCACUCCUUCCUUUCCCAUCUAUUUUCUUUUUUGCCCCCAAACUCCUUUUUUCUUUUUUUCUUUUUUUCUUUUUUUCUUUCUUUUUGCUUAACUUCAUACAAAAUAUUCCAAAACUUUUCCAUCACUUUCCAUUCUUUUAAAUUACAAAAUAUUAUAAUAUAUAUCUUAGUCUAUAUUACUCAUCAAAACUUUGUUAUAUUUUAUAAAUCUUUUGAUUCAUUUCGAUAUAUUUAAAAAUAGUCUUUUAUUUUUAUUUUGGAGAACUUCUGAAACCUGCAACGGAUACUGCAACGGAUGAAAGAUCGUAUGUCGAGCCUUGCGCAAGAGAAACUUUCGCCGAUUCUUAUAUGGGUUCAACCUGUCAAUAUUCUUUGAACCUCAUUUUUCUAAUGGAAGGAAGACCGUAAACUCCUUCGCGAAAUUAUGAUUUCUAAAAAAUAACCUAAAACUUUUAAGUUAUGAGACAUUUUUUUAAAUAGCAAAAUAAAUUAAAACAUUUACAAAUUAUAGCAAAAUUUUGGAUUCUAUCACUAAUAAUCG
Molecule: long non-coding RNA, 2815 nt
Filed under: Cucumis sativus (cucumber)
Lineage: Eukaryota; Viridiplantae; Streptophyta; Magnoliopsida; Cucurbitales; Cucurbitaceae
Description: long non-coding RNA (CSAT_LNC000749)
Source: RNAcentral